Molecule: transfer RNA, 67 nt
Filed under: Marmota monax (woodchuck)
Lineage: Eukaryota; Metazoa; Chordata; Mammalia; Rodentia; Sciuridae
Description: tRNA.Ala
Rfam family: tRNA
About the family: Transfer RNA (tRNA) molecules are approximately 80 nucleotides in length. Their secondary structure includes four short double-helical elements and three loops (D, anti-codon, and T loops). Further hydrogen bonds mediate the characteristic L-shaped molecular structure. tRNAs have two regions of fundamental functional importance: the anti-codon, which is responsible for specific mRNA codon recognition, and the 3' end, to which the tRNAs corresponding amino acid is attached (by aminoacyl-tRNA synthetases). tRNAs cope with the degeneracy of the genetic code in two manners: having more than one tRNA (with a specific anti-codon) for a particular amino acid; and 'wobble' base-pairing, i.e. permitting non-standard base-pairing at the 3rd anti-codon position.
Source: RNAcentral
GGUUGUGGCUUAGUGGUUGAGCGCCUGCCUAGCAUGCAUGAAGCCCUGGGUUCAAUCCCCAGCACCA